RNAcentral lists this ribosomal RNA (468 nucleotides) under uncultured bacterium. RNAcentral's name for it is "partial 16S ribosomal RNA". It matches the Rfam family "Bacterial small subunit ribosomal RNA", at positions 28 to 507 of the family's 1533-position model. The record is from RNAcentral.
GACGAACGCUGGCGGCGUGCUUAACACAUGCAAGUCGAACGGAAAGGCCCUGCUUUUGUGGGGUGCUCGAGUGGCGAACGGGUGAGUAACACGUGAGUAACCUGCCCUUGACUUUGGGAUAACUUCAGGAAACUGGGGCUAAUACCGGAUAGGAGCUCCUGCUGCAUGGUGGGGGUUGGAAAGUUUCGGCGGUUGGGGAUGGACUCGCGGCUUAUCAGCUUGUUGGUGGGGUAGUGGCUUACCAAGGCUUUGACGGGUAGCCGGCCUGAGAGGGUUACCGGACACAUUGGGACUGAGAUACGGCACAGACUCCUACGGGAGGCAGCAGUGGGGAAUAUUGCACAAUGGGCGGAAGCCUGAUGCAGAAACGCCGCGUGCGGGAUGACGGCCUUCGGGUUGUAAACCGCUUUCGCCUGUGACGAAGCGUGAGUGACGGUAAUGGGUAAAGAAGCACCGGCUAACUACGUG